This is an RNA transcript of Arabidopsis thaliana (thale cress), 415 nucleotides long. RefSeq lists it as uncharacterized. The transcript has 2 exons. The record is from RefSeq. Lineage: Eukaryota; Viridiplantae; Streptophyta; Magnoliopsida; Brassicales; Brassicaceae.
AAAAAACAUUAUAUUUAUCUGUCUAAAAUAUAUAUAUUGAAAAAUUCCCAAAUAAAAUUAAAUGAAAACAAUCUUUUUGUUUCUCACUCUUUUAAUUCUUGUUUCAUCAAGUGUAUCAGAUAUUGUGGAGAAAAGUAAUUCAGAAAGAAAAACUCUUUAUAACUAUGUAGUGAGUCCUCAAACUCCACCAAACAUGAUUCUUGGAAAGAACGAUGAUAUUGAAUCUGAUGAUGAACAUAUUAGAGCAUGUGCGUGGUGUCAUUUUCAUUGUUAUACUUCAGAAUUCAGGGAUGUGAAGUAUUGUAACCCAAAUGAUGGUUGUCAUUGCGGUGAAUACAUAGGUGACAUUUAUAAUUAUAGACGAAAUUAAAAUCAUAAAAAUUAUAUAUAUAUAUAUUAUAAAAAUAAAAACAAG